CCUUUGAAAAAGUGAUAAGACAUUGGUGAAAAAUUCUUUAAUAUAACUAAAAGCAAAUAUUUAAUUAUGCUGAAUAAAAAUUCAUUUAUUACUGGUAAAACAAAUGUACUAAGAGUCUGUCAAUAAGUACUUGACUAUAUGAGCAAUCACUUAUACAGUGUCAAAUUGUGUCGCCCAAUUACAUAUAAACUAUCUUUCAUUAUAAAAGUCCUACAUAUACUUGUUUGCUGGUUUUCAAAAAUAAUAUCCUAUUUAUAGUUAUGAUACUCCUAUAAUAGAGGUCCUGGGUUUUGUACUAUUAUACAUCACCCUAUCCUAAAUUUUGAGUUCAGUAAAGGCAAAUGCAUAAUGCAUAGCACAAAGUGAACCUGAAUUAAACAUAAUCUAAUUUAAUCUAUUUACAGAUUUAAACCAUGAAUAAAUUUGCACCAGUAUGUUUAUCAUAUAAGCCCAAAUUCCGUGAUCAAAAUUCAUCAAAAGGCACUUAUUUACUGGAAAGGCAAGUAGUACACAAUGAAAUAUGCAAAACUUUUAGACAUUAGUCCAAGGAUCUUUUUAUAAGAUCUAUAUAUAUACUUUUAUAAGAUCUAUACUAUAUACUAUAUAAUGGCACACCCAACAUGAGGCUCAAACCCACAACCCUGAGAUCAGGAGUCGCAUGCUCCACUGCCUAAGCCAGCCAAGCUCCCCGAAACGUAUUUUUCUUUGGUUCACCUUUAUGCAUGAACUCUGAAGUACAUGUCUUAUAAAGUAUAAAUUACCCAUGACCCUUUAAACAUUCUUUUAUCACUCCUCUGGACUACCAGUCAAUUUGGAUUUGAUUAUCAAUGAAUGAGAGCUACUGCCUCUAAAAAUAGGGUUGUUGUUGUUUUUUUUCCUUAACUGCUAAUCUCUUUCUACUGAUGAUACCUGAUUCAGUGAAGAUAAGCAGUAUAUUAGGAUUUCAUUAUACACGAACAAUUCAGUUAGUAAAUACAUUUGUGCUUCAGUCUUAAAAUAUGAACUCCUUAAAUAGAAAUACUAAGUAGUAUUUCUAGCAUUUCCUUUAACUGUCAAGUAUUCAUCAAAUGUUAACUAUAUACAGCAUUUGAUCAUAUACUAACAAAAUUUGAAAAUGGGAUAUUUCUGCAGAGUAAAAUACUUAUUCAUCACACACUACGUAGUAGGACACAAAAGAGCAUUUAAAACGUGGUCCUUCAAGGAAUUUACAAUCUAGUUGGGAAGGGGGAAAAAGUAAAUGACAAGUUAACAAUACAAAAAAGAAGUAAUGGUUUGAAAUGACCUAAGAUCUAUCACAAGGCAAUGCAUAAUUAUAUUCCAAAUGAUUGACAAAGUUUCUGGGGUUUCAGGAAUGAAAAUAAAGUGGAUCAAUAAAGCAUGAAGACUUGGAAAAUGACUAAGAUGUGCAUAGAGGAAAAGGAGAGAAACUGGUUUUACCUUUGGACCGAAGAGGAAAGAAAAGGACCCAGUUGCUGCACAUCCCUUAGGGAUGCUGGAGGUGUGCUGGGGCUUUGUGCCUCACCCACUGAGAUCAGGUCAACAGAAGUUUCAGCAGGAGUCAAAUAGUAAGUAGAAAGGCUCUUUAUCCAUUGGUGAGUUUAUUCCACUUAAAAGUCCUUACUGGCAAUCUUGGUGUUUUAAGACAGAAGGUAAAUAGCAUUGGGCUUUCUAUUUUAAUUCCCACAAAAGAGGGGAACAUAAGAUUAUUAAAAAUAGAGAAAAUAAAAGUUUUUUUAAAAACAGAAAGCAAAUAGGCAGUGAAUCUCUGAUCUUCCGUUUUCCAACACUUGUUAUUUGCAGGCAACUUACUUUACAGCUCAAAUACACACUCCUUUUAAACAGUAUGAAUAUGUUAAAACACUACUUUAAUCUCAAUUUGUUGAUUCUUUGAGAAUAUCUAGUUAAAGAUAACUUCAAUCUUAAAUCUACAGCAUGUAUUUCCUAUGUCCCUUGAUGUGGGAAAAAAAAAUACCAGAAAAAAUUUCACCCACUUUUCCAGAAAUGUAUAAAUAUACUCUACCUUUUUUCUUUUUCAUUGGUUCAUGGCUAUCUGGUGAUGUGGGAAUAGGAGAGGUAUCCAUUGGUUCGGAUUCUUCAGUUGACACCUCCACUACAGUUUCUGUAAUGACAUCUGGCCUCAUAGCAGCAUGGAUAAAUUCUGGAGUUGAUACACAAGGAGGGACAAACACUUCCACUAUAAAGAAAAGUUGAAAAAUUAAAAUUUCCCACCCCCAUUAACACUUUUUAAUGCGGACAAUUCAAUAUUUGAUAGAGGUGAGACUUAUUAACAAUUCAUCAAAACAGGAUAAAUGCCUGAAGUUAAUGUGCUGAAUAUGCAAUAUGAUCUCAAGUAUGUAAGGAAAUGAAUGCAAAGAAAAUCAGGCUGAAGGUAAGGUGGUAAAAAGGUGGGGAUCAUACGAGGUCACCCCCCUUCUUCACAUUUUUACAUGCUUUCGAGCUUACUGUAGAAGACUGAAUUAUUUUGACAAUUGGGAAAACAUCUGAAAAUAAAAUAAUAGUAUAAUAUAAUAGUGAGUUCUUUAAUAAUUACUUUCCUUCCUGGUACCCAUCAUUAUGCUCUAACUAGGUAAUACAUGCACAUGGUAUAAAAUUAAAAACAUUUAAUAAAGGGACGCCUGGGUGGCUCAGUCAGUUAAGCGGUCAACUCUUGAUUUCGACUCUGGUCAUGAUCUCACGGGUCUUGAGAUCAAGCCCCACAUCGUGCUCUGUGCUUACAGUGCAGAGCCUGCUUCAGGUUGUCUGUCUCCCUCUCUCUGCCCCUCCCCCACUUGUGCUCUCUUCUCUCUCAAAAAUAAAA
Panthera uncia (snow leopard) is the source of this 2818-nucleotide long non-coding RNA. RefSeq lists it as uncharacterized. The transcript is spliced from 2 exons. The record is from RefSeq and is a predicted model, not a curated record. NCBI's taxonomy places the organism in Eukaryota, Metazoa, Chordata, Mammalia, Carnivora, Felidae.